RNAcentral lists this ribosomal RNA (405 nucleotides) under uncultured bacterium. RNAcentral describes it as "partial 16S ribosomal RNA". It matches the Rfam family "Bacterial small subunit ribosomal RNA", at positions 30 to 526 of the family's 1533-position model. The record is from RNAcentral.
AUCGAACGCUGGCGGGAUGCUUUACACAUGCAAGUCGAACGAGUGGCGGACGGGUGAGUAAUAUAUCAGAACGUGCCCAAUAGAGGGGGAUAACUACUCGAAAGAGUGGCUAAUACCGCAUACUAUGGGAUCGGCCGAUAUCGGAUUAGCUAGUUGGUGGGGUAAAGGUACACCAAGGCAACGAUGCGUAGCUGGUUUGAGAGGCCGACCAGCCACACUGGGACUGAGACACGGCCCAGACUCCUACGGGAGGCAGCAGUGGGGAAUCUUGGACAAUGGGGGAAACCCUGAUCCAGCCAUCCCGCGUGUAUGAGAAGGCCUUCGGGUUGUAAAGUACUUUUGGCAGAGAAGCGGUAUCUGAAGAAUAAGCACCGGCUAACUACGUGCCAGCCGCCGCGGUAAUAC